CCCAGACUCCUACGGGAGGCAGCAGUAGGGAAUCUUCCGCAAUGGACGAAAGUCUGACGGAGCAACGCCGCGUGAGUGAUGAAGGUUUUCGGAUCGUAAAACUCUGUUGUCAGGGAAGAACAAGUGCCGGAGUAACUGCCGGCACCUUGACGGUACCUGACCAGAAAGCCACGGCUAACUACGUGCCAGCAGCCGCGGUAAUACGUAGGUGGCAAGCGUUGUCCGGAAUUAUUGGGCGUAAAGCGCGCGCAGGCGGUCUCUUAAGUCUGAUGUGAAAGCCCACGGCUCAACCGUGGAGGGUCAUUGGAAACUGGGGGACUUGAGUGCAGAAGAGGAAAGUGGAAUUCCACGUGUAGCGGUGAAAUGCGUAGAGAUGNUGGAGGAACACCAGUGGCGNAAGGCGACUUUCUGGUCUGUAACUGACGCUGAGGCGCGAAAGCGUGGGGAGCAAACGGGAUUAGAUACCCUGGUAGUCCACGCCGUAAACGAUGAGUGCUAAGUGUUAGAGGGUUUCCGCCCUUUAGUGCUGCAGCAAACGCAUUAAGCACUCNCGCCUGGGGAGUCGGGCCGCAAGGNNCUGAAACUCAAAGGAAUUGACGGGGGCCCGCACAAGCGGUGGAGCAUGUGGUUUAAUUCGAAGCAACGCGAAGAACCUUACCAGGUCUUGACAUCUCCUGACAACCCUAGAGAUAGGGCGUUCCCCUUCGGGGGACAGGAUGACAGGUGGUGCAUGGUUGUCGUCAGCUCGUGUCGUGAGAUGUUGGGUUAAGUCCCGCAACGAGCGCAACCCUUGAUCUUAGUUGCCAGCAUUCAGUUGGGCACUCUAAGGUGACUGCCGGUGACAAACCGGAGGAAGGUGGGGAUGACGUCAAAUCAUCAUGCCCCUUAUGACCUGGGCUACACACGUGCUACAAUGGAUGGUACAAAGGGCUGCAAGACCGCGAGGUUAAGCGAAUCCCAUAAAACCAUUCUCAGUUCGGAUUGCAGGCUGCAACUCGCCUGCAUGAAGCUGGAAUCGCUAGUAAUCGCGGAUCAGCAUGCCGCGGUGAAUACG
Molecule: ribosomal RNA, 1054 nt
Filed under: uncultured Bacillus sp.
Lineage: Bacteria; Bacillati; Bacillota; Bacilli; Caryophanales; Bacillaceae
Description: bacterial SSU rRNA
Rfam family: Bacterial small subunit ribosomal RNA
Source: RNAcentral